UUCCAUUUCAACGUCGGGUUAGAA
RNAcentral lists this microRNA (24 nucleotides) under Glycine max (soybean). RNAcentral describes it as "gma-miR10435". Lineage: Eukaryota; Viridiplantae; Streptophyta; Magnoliopsida; Fabales; Fabaceae. The record is from miRBase by way of RNAcentral.